RNAcentral lists this transfer RNA (64 nucleotides) under Centrotus cornutus. Its description in RNAcentral is "tRNA-Glu". The record is from RNAcentral. Lineage: Eukaryota; Metazoa; Arthropoda; Insecta; Hemiptera; Membracidae.
AUUCAUUUAGUUUAAAAAAAACAUUUUAUUUUCAUUAAAAAGAUGAAUAUAAAAUCAAUGAAUU